AUUGAACGCUGGCGGAAUGCUUUACACAUGCAAGUCGAACGGCAGCACGGGGCAACCUGGUGGCGAGUGGCGAACGGGUGAGUAAUACAUCGGAACGUGCCCAGUCGUGGGGGAUAACGUAGCGAAAGUUACGCUAAUACCGCAUACGAUCUAAGGAUGAAAGCGGGGGAUCGCAAGACCUCGCGCGAUUGGAGCGGACGAUGGCAGAUUAGGUAGUUGGUGGGGUAAAGGCCCACCAAGCCGACGAUCUGUAGCUGGUCUGAGAGGACGACCAGCCACACUGGGACUGAGACACGGCCCAGACUCCUACGGGAGGCAGCAGUGGGGAAUUUUGGACAAUGGGCGCAAGCCUGAUCCAGCCAUUCCGUGUGCAGGAUGAAGGCCUUCGGGUUGUAAACUGCUUUUGUACGGAGCGAAAAGGCUCUCUCUAAUACAGGGGGCUCAUGACGGUACCGUAAGAAUAAGCACCGGCUAACUACGUGCCAGCAGCCGCAGUAA
This 498-nucleotide ribosomal RNA is filed under the name uncultured bacterium. Its description in RNAcentral is "partial 16S ribosomal RNA". It matches the Rfam family "Bacterial small subunit ribosomal RNA", at positions 30 to 523 of the family's 1533-position model. The record is from RNAcentral.